This 303-nucleotide ribosomal RNA is filed under the name uncultured bacterium. Its description in RNAcentral is "partial 16S ribosomal RNA". It matches the Rfam family "Bacterial small subunit ribosomal RNA", at positions 507 to 807 of the family's 1533-position model. The record is from RNAcentral.
AGCAGUCGCCGCGGGAAUACGGAGGGUGCAAGCGUUAAUCGGAAUUACUGGGCGUAAAGCGCACGCAGGCGGUCUGACAAGUCAGAUGUGAAAUCCCCGGGCUUAACCUGGGAACUGCAUUUGAAACUGUCAGGCUGGAGUCUUGUAGAGGGGGGUGAAAUUCCAAGUGUAGCGGUGAAAUGCGUAGAGAUCUGGAGGAAUACCGGUGGCGAAGGCGGCCCCCUGGACAAAGACUGACGCUCAGGUGCGAAAGCGUGGGGAGCAAACAGGAUUAGAGACCCCGGUAGUCCCUGUCUCUUAUAC